UGGCUGGGGCGGCACAUCUGCUAAACAUCAACGCAGAUGCCCUAAGGUUAACUCAAAGAGAACAGAAAUCUCUUGUAGACCGAAAGGAGAAAAGUUAGCAUUAUUCGGAUUUGUAUCAUCAAUAAGAAUUGCGAAAGCAUGGCCUAUCGAUCCUUUAAGCCCAGAAAGAUUCUGGCUAGAGGUGACGGAAAAGUUACCACAGGGAUAACUGGCUUGUGGCAGCCAAGCGUUCAUAGCGACGUUGCUUUUUGACCCUUCGAUGUCGGCUCUUCCUAUCAUUGAGUUGCAGAAGUCUCAAAGUGUCGGAUUGUUCACCCGUUAAUAGGGAACGUGAGCUGGGUUUAGACCGUCGUGAGACAGGUUAGUUUUAUCCUACUUAUACACGCAUCAAAAGAGUUAAUCAACUUAGUACGAGAGGAACCGUUGAUUCAAACCGCUGGUUAAGCGUUUGACUGUAAAGUCAAAGACGCAAAGCUACGUUUGAUGGAUAAUGACUGAACGCCUCUAAGUCAAAAUCCUAACUUGUGAAAAGAUGUAUUAG
This 541-nucleotide non-coding RNA is filed under the name Gregarina niphandrodes. RNAcentral describes it as "Eukaryotic large subunit ribosomal RNA". It matches the Rfam family "Eukaryotic large subunit ribosomal RNA", at positions 2621 to 3166 of the family's 3401-position model. The record is from Rfam by way of RNAcentral. Lineage: Eukaryota; Apicomplexa; Conoidasida; Eugregarinorida; Gregarinidae.